Molecule: ribosomal RNA, 1590 nt
Filed under: Triticum aestivum (bread wheat)
Lineage: Eukaryota; Viridiplantae; Streptophyta; Magnoliopsida; Poales; Poaceae
Description: partial small subunit ribosomal RNA
Source: RNAcentral
AUGAGACAGAUCUUGAACCUUAGCUACAAAAAUCUUCCUCACCACCUCAAGACAUGCUUCUUGUAUCUUGGUAUGUUUCUGGAGGACUCUGAAAUAUACAGGCAUGAGUUGGUAAGCCUGUGGGUUUCUGAAGGUUUCAUUAGUAAAGCACAUGGACAAAGCCUAGAACAGACCGCGAUAGGUUAUUUCAAUGAUCUUGUCAACAGGAGCCUUAUUCAACCUGCAUUGAUCAAAUCUGAUGGGUCAGUGAAAUCUUGCAAAGUACAUGAUAUGGUGUUGGAUCUUAUCUUGUACAAGUCUGCACAAGAGAAUUUUAUCACUAUAGUAGACAACCCAGAGGCCAUUACAGGACAGUUUCCAAAGCCCCGUCGGAUGCUCUUCAACUUGGAUGGUGAAAUACUGCAAGGGAAUGUUAGUAUGUCACAAGUGCGAUCGUUUGCAAAUUGGAGGGGCUCCAUGAAUAUACCUUCUCUGGCAGAGUUCAAGUAUCUUCGAGUUUUUAAGGCUGACUUCAGUUCUAGCUCUGCUGACCACAACCGCAAAAUCGACCUGACAGGAUUGUGUAAGUUAUAUCAGCUGCGAUAUAUACAAAUUCGUGGCUGUUGCAACUGCCAACUACCAACCCAAAUUAGAGGGUUACAGAUGUUGGAAAUAUUCGAUAUAGAUGGGUCCUGUAUCCCAAUGGAUAUUUUUCACCUGCCGCACUUGUUGAAUCUGAUUGUUCCAUCCGUUGAAAGGCUGCCUAAGGGCAUUGGUAAAAUGAAAUCCCUACAACAUCUGUGUCGUUUUGACCUGCGGCACAACACUUCACUCGACAGUAUCAAGGGCCUAGGAGAGCUCACCAAUCUGAGUACUCUAGUUGUCAGAACCGGUUUUUCUAAAGACGUGGACAUGGAUGUUCUAAACUCUUCUUUGGGGAAACCUUGUAACCUUGAGUCCCUGCACAUAAAUUCAGCUGAUUCUUGGAUGCCUGAGGAGCUAACCUUGUCGCCUCCUCCCCCAAACCUCACGGUCCUCAGCAUGACACAAAUGUCCCAGGUCCCUAACUGGAUUGGGGAACUCCAUAACCUCCAGUUUUUGUAUCUCACUGUUGACAAGCUGGACAAGGAUGGUGUUGGUAUUCUCGCAAAGUUAACAGGCCUCAUCGACCUGGAAUUAAUGUUUCAUAAUGCCCUGGAAGAAACAAUUGCCAUUUAUGGGACAGCAUUCGCAAUCCUAAAGCGGUUUCAUGUCAGCUGCAAGAACAUGGCACACCUGACCUUCCAAGCUGGGGCAAUGCCCAAGCUCCAGAGUGUAUCUCUAGGGUUAAACGCCUUGGGGUGGAAGCAGGAAAAUUGCACCGCACCUACUGGUAUCGAGCACUUGUUAGCACUUGAAAGAAUCGAUGUACUAAUCGGCUGCCUGGAUGCUACUGAAUCUGAACAGAGAAGUGCAGAGUCUGCCAUUAGGAGCGCUAUCAACAUGCAUCCUGGCCAUGCUCACAUUACAAUCGAUAUUGAAAGUCGAUUCUUUGAUAUGGAGCAACAAGAUGAGGUAUGCAAAGGAAUGUUUGAGUUGUCUACAACAUUCAUGCCGGAUUAUAGCGGAUGA